Molecule: long non-coding RNA, 570 nt
Filed under: Phoenix dactylifera (date palm)
Lineage: Eukaryota; Viridiplantae; Streptophyta; Magnoliopsida; Arecales; Arecaceae
Description: long non-coding RNA (PDAC_LNC004358)
Source: RNAcentral
GACCCUCCGGCAGCCAGGCGUCCUCUGGCGUCACCGAGGCGUCACCCACCUUUCCGCCUAUUUAACCGGGGGCCCUCCUCCGUCCGCCUUUCUCUUUACAGACAUCUUCGAGUUUCUCCUUUGCGCUGCCGUCAUUGCCGUCGGACUGUUCGCUUGCUCCUCCUUUGACGCUCUCGGAGCCGUUCUUCCUUCUCUUCCGGUGAGUUGCCCCAUUCUUCAAUUUAAGGCUCUCCAUACUUUCUCCUUUUGUAUUAGUGUACUCCAGUCGUUCCGGUCCUUUCCCCCUUGAGGAUGAUAGUGUUAUUUUGAUGAUUAACAAGCAAUUCUCUAGAGUAUGCUAUAAGUUAAAAUUGAUACUUCAUUUAUGUGAGACACGGGCUGAAGUCGGCAGCCCCUGCCGACUUCAGUCCCGUUCUCUUUUUGGAAGGCCGGAACAGAGGAUCGCGAUUUGCGAUCCUCUCCGGCUCUUCCGGGGAUGAUCGGGGCGGGGAUGUCGCUAGUCCCGCGGCACCCCCGCCCCCCUCCCACGCUCAUCCGCGGCCGAACCGCGGCCGCGGAUCUCGCUCGGCC